UACGAAGGGAGCUAGCGUUGUUCGGAAUUACUGGGCGUAAAGGGCGCGUAGGCGGGUUUCCAAGUCGGGGGUGAAAUUCCAGGGCUCAACCCUGGGACGGCCUUCGAUACUGGGAGCCUGGAGAUCGGGAGAGGUGAGUGGAAUUCCGAGUGUAGAGGUGAAAUUCGUAGAUAUUCGGAGGAACACCAGAAGCGAAGGCGGCUCACUGGCCCGAGACUGACGCUGAGGCGCGAAAGCGUGGGGAGCAAACAGG
This 253-nucleotide ribosomal RNA is filed under the name uncultured bacterium. RNAcentral describes it as "partial 16S ribosomal RNA". It matches the Rfam family "Bacterial small subunit ribosomal RNA", at positions 524 to 776 of the family's 1533-position model. The record is from RNAcentral. RNAcentral also lists the same sequence under 2 other names.